UGGAUCAUUGAGAUUCAGAAACAAAAUUUGUUUUCCAAAUGACUCUAAUUUAAAGAGAGAAAUUAUGAGAGAAGCUCAUAACACUGGAUAUAUAGUACAUCCUGGAAGUACAAUAAUGUAUAAAGAUUUGAAAAAUAUAUUCUAGUGGAAUAACAUAAAGAGAGAAAUUGCACAGUUUGUAGCUCGGUGUUUGACUUGUCAGCAGGUUAAGGCAGAACACCAGAGACCAACUGGGUUGUUGCAUCCCCUUUCAAUUUCUGAAUUGAGGUGGGAACACAUCCCAAUAGACUUCGUCUCUACAUUGCCUCGUACUCCUAAAGGUUAUCAUGCUAUAUGGGUGAUUGUAGACAGACUGACUAAGUCGGCACACUUUUAGUAUUCAAAAUGGGAAUGACACUAGAAAAGUUUGCGGAGCUCUAUAUUGAGCAAAUAGUGAGGUUGCAUGGAAUACCGAUAUCCAUUAUUUUCGAUAAGGACUUGUGGUUUGUAUCUCACCUUUGGGGUAGUCUGUAUAAACCUUUGGGAACCACUCUCAGCUUUAGCACAGCUUUCCACCCUCAGACCGAUGGCCAGUCGAAAAGAACCAUUCAGAUCUUGGAGAAUAUGCUGAGGGCUUGUGUGGUUGACAUGAUAGGCUAUGUGGGAACUGGAGGACGAGAUGAAGAAAAAAUAUUCAUGCCUUUUUGAAAGCUAAGGUAUGUUAAAUUUCGAUAACGAAAUUUUUAAAAGGAGGGAAGAAUGUGAGUAUCGGGCCGCCAGAUGGGCCGACCUGGACCAAAGUCGGCAGCCCAUCUGGAGGCCACUAUCUGUUGCUUCGAGGGGGGAGAAGUGGAUGUGCGAUGGUUCUAGUAGAACCCACCCUUUUUAUUAACUAAACCCACAUCACGAUUCCUCCCUCACCAUUCUCCUUCUUCCUCAGAGACCGGGCUCCCUGAACGGACGUCUGCAUCGCCGGAGAAGGCGCUCGUGACUCCUUUCCAAAGUAAGCAUGGCUAUGAUCUGGCCCCGCCUAUGAGGAUUAUUCGUUGGCCCUGUCGACCUGUAUAUGUGAGAGUCGGGUUUCGACACCGUACCAUUGGUGAUUAGAAUAAUGGUGUUUGGACACCGUACCACCGGUGUUUAAUAAUAGUGGUGUUUGGACACUGUACCACCGGUGUAUAACAAUAGUAGUGUUUAGCACUUUGUGCGACCCAUGCUACUGGAUUUCGUGGCCGUAGCCUACGUAUGUUGGGAUUUUAGUAUCAGAGUUUUUGUGAAAAUGAUGAUAGGUUUUGAAAAGAAAAAUUAGAAUGCUUAUUGUGAUUUA
Phoenix dactylifera (date palm) is the source of this 1306-nucleotide non-coding RNA. Lineage: Eukaryota; Viridiplantae; Streptophyta; Magnoliopsida; Arecales; Arecaceae. The record is from RefSeq and is a predicted model, not a curated record.